GGUGUACCAGGUCCAAAUGGAGAUUGGUGAAUCGGCAGACGGUAAUGAAGAUGAUGAUGAAGAUGUUUCCAGCUCAGUGUUAUGAUGUCACAGGAGCUUCAGGCGCUAGGACCCGUCAGCCUCUGGGAUGAAGUCUUUGUCUCCUCCUCCUCCUCCUCUCUGUCUCCCUCUGUCUCCCUCUCUCUCCCCCCUCACUCCUCCUCUCACUCCUCCUCCCUCGCUCCGUGUCUCUCUCCAUCAGCAGAGGUCUGGAUGUGUGCUCAGACUCCAACAUGGCUGUGAAUCUCGGCAAGAACAGACUGGCCCUGCUCACCUCCUACCAGGACGUCAUCGACGAGACCUCCGACACCGACUGGUGAGUCUCUUCUCCGGCCUCGGCCUCCGCUCUGCUCCGCUCUGCCGCGGUGCGGAGCUGCUCCGUGGAGCCGCUGUUGUGCGGGUUUGUCCGGGCUGAGGAUGCGCAGGACAGGGUGCACCUUCAUCAUCCUCAUCUUCGUCAUCUUCCUCAUCGUCUUCAUCACGCUCAGUUUGACUUUGUGUUUCAGAAGCUUCUGCAUGAAACUGUUCCACUGAGUUUAUGAAGCAGAAAUCAGCUGCAGAGUCAGUGUGUGUGUGUGUGUGUGUGUGUGUGUGUGUGCGUGCACGCUGGACCAGUGAUCGUGCACGCGGGUCCGGUGAUCGUGCACGCGGGACCAAUGGCCGUGCACGCGGAACUAGUGAGCGUGCACAGCAGAAAUCUUUGUUUCCUCUGCAG
Non-coding RNA from Paralichthys olivaceus (Japanese flounder), 754 nucleotides. Lineage: Eukaryota; Metazoa; Chordata; Actinopteri; Pleuronectiformes; Paralichthyidae. The record is from RefSeq and is a predicted model, not a curated record.